GACGGAGGGUGCAAGCGUUGUCCGGAAUCAUUGGGUGUAAAGGGUGUGUAGGCGGGAUGGCAAGUCAGGGGUGAAAUCCCACGGCUCAACCGUGGAAUUGCCUUUGAUACUGCUGUUCUUGAGUCCCGGAGAGGCCACUAGAAUUCGUGGUGUAGCGGUGAAAUGCGUAGAUAUCACGAGGAAUACCAGUUGCGUAGGCGGGUGGCUGGACGGGAACUGACGCUGAGGCACGAAAGCGUGGGGAGCAAACAGG
Molecule: unclassified non-coding RNA, 253 nt
Filed under: uncultured Bacteroidota bacterium
Lineage: Bacteria; Pseudomonadati; Bacteroidota
Description: uncultured Bacteroidetes bacterium contains 16S-23S intergenic spacer region
Rfam family: Bacterial small subunit ribosomal RNA
Source: RNAcentral